This is a long non-coding RNA of Sapajus apella (tufted capuchin), 353 nucleotides long. RefSeq lists it as uncharacterized. The transcript has 2 exons. Lineage: Eukaryota; Metazoa; Chordata; Mammalia; Primates; Cebidae. The record is from RefSeq and is a predicted model, not a curated record.
GGACGACAUGCUCCACCAUCCAAGAACAUUCCAGAUGGAGUUCAGACAAAAGCACAAAGUUCGAAAAGUGAGAAGUGCAGAGAAAGUGCCUCCAAGAUGUACCAUGGAAAUUUAGACAUUUAUGGAUUGCCUUGGAAUGGAAAAGGUAGUAACAGCAACUCUGGGAGUUCCUGCCAAGUUCUACCCCGAGUGGAACAAGUUCCUGAUUGUUCCCUUCCCUGGAUUUUAACCAAGGUGAUAAAUAAAUACAGUGAGAGGGGAUAUCUGGGAGAGGUAGAGGCUUUGACUCCAGACCUUGAGCUUAUUGAAGUCAGAAACUUUGUCCCUGAGAAAUAAAAAUAGUUUUUGGUUUU